CCUACGGGAGGCAGCAGUGGGGAAUAUUGCACAAUGGGCGAAAGCCUGAUGCAGCGACGCCGCGUGAGGGAUGACGGCCUUCGGGUUGUAAACCUCUUUCAGCAGGGAAGAAGCGAAAGUGACGGUACCUGCAGAAGAAGCGCCGGCUAACUACGUGCCAGCAGCCGCGGUAAUACGUAGGGCGCAAGCGUUGUCCGGAAUUAUUGGGCGUAAAGAGCUCGUAGGCGGCUUGUCACGUCGGGUGUGAAAGCCCGGGGCUUAACCCCGGGUCUGCAUUCGAUACGGGCUAGCUAGAGUGUGGUAGGGGAGAUCGGAAUUCCUGGUGUAGCGGUGAAAUGCGCAGAUAUCAGGAGGAACACCGGUGGCGAAGGCGGAUCUCUGGGCCAUUACUGACGCUGAGGAGCGAAAGCGUGGGGAGCGAACAGGAUUAGAUACCCUGGUAGUCCACGCCGUAAACGGUGGGAACUAGGUGUUGGCGACAUUCCACGUCGUCGGUGCGCNGCUACGCAUAGUUACCCGUCCGUCGGAGGUACGGCCGCGAGACGUAAACGUUAAACGUAGUAGUAAGUACGUCGUUGAGUAGUUCGACGACGACGACGACGGAGGGAGGAG
RNAcentral lists this ribosomal RNA (612 nucleotides) under uncultured bacterium. RNAcentral's name for it is "bacterial SSU rRNA". The stretch from base 1 to 521 matches the Rfam family "Bacterial small subunit ribosomal RNA", at positions 338 to 873 of the family's 1533-position model. The record is from RNAcentral.